Molecule: long non-coding RNA, 1762 nt
Organism: Coregonus clupeaformis (lake whitefish)
Lineage: Eukaryota; Metazoa; Chordata; Actinopteri; Salmoniformes; Salmonidae
Exons: 3
Source: RefSeq, a predicted model, not a curated record
GCAAUCUCGUUCCACUACUGGACGGAAAGCAUAGGCAAAGAUGUUUAUCACUAACCCAAGAUAGACCACUGCCUGUCGUUUCAAUGGGAACAAAUUAGUCAUAGUGGGCAGAACAAGCAAGGAGGUGGCAGAGCCAAACUCGAGCUAGCGAGAUCCUAUUGGCACAUUUAGGUUUCACAAGACAAGAUGGAGGAGACCCUGACUGCUACCGUAACCAAGCCAGCUUGUUUGUGGAUUGCAGUAGAAGUAAAAAUGGCAGAAGUGAGAAGACCGUAGAAGAGAAGAAGACAAGGAGAUGGUGUUGCGUCUUCAUCCAGGGCAGACAUCAGUCUGCACAAACACACAUACACUCCUCUGCUCUACCUUUUCUGCUCUACUCUACUCUGCUGUAUUCUAAAUUACUCUGCUCUAUUCUAGCCUACUCGCCUCUGCUCUACUGAACUCUCCUCUGGGUGUGACCACUUGUGGAAACCUCAACAAUGAUCAUUUGAGUAGCUUCAGCCAGGUCCUGCCUGUUAGCCUCCAUUCUUCUCUCCACAUCCUCCUUCUCCUACCUCCUUUUCAUCAUCCUCUCUCUCGUCUACCUCUUCUCCCUUCCUCUACUUUAGGGCAGUGUUUCCCAACUCCGGUUCUCGUCCUGAAGUACCCCCAACACCACACAUUUUUGUUGUAGCCCUGGACAAAAAAUCUGAUUGAACUAAUUGAGUAUCGACACAUGCUCCAACCAUGCCCUUAGCACGUUCUCUCUCCGGGUCCUAGCAACUAGAUUUCCAGUCGUAGGUUACCAGGUAGCCUAUAGAAAGUUGCCACUACCUGCGCCAAAGUCCUGCAUGUGACUUGCAAGGUGAUCAGCAGUGCCUCAAAGCAUAGACUGUAAAAAGUAACCAAGAGGCGUGUUCAUUUUGAGGCCCCUGAACCUCCAUUUCAAGGCUGCCGAAGACUGGGAGGGUGAUGUAAUGAAUUUGAUUCGAGAAAUGACGCUCGUAACAUUUCAACAAAUGUGGAAUCAAGGUGAUUUUUUAAAGUAGCCUGGUCCUAUACGUUUUUUGUGAAGAUAGAUCAUCGCAGAAUCAUCCUCUUGUGCACAGCGAGCCUCUAUGCACGAGGCAAAUCGGCGGGCCUUGCUGUCUGUUCGUGGAAUGUUUGUUCAGUAAUCGUGUAAAUGUUUUAGUUGCUUAUUUAUUUGGAGUUGGAAAUGACAAAAAUGCACGUGUGAUAGCGUAGGCUACGGUAGGUCUGCUCUGCUCUCACAGUCACCAUCAUGUCACAAUGUUGAGUCUUUCUACUGUUGUCCCCACAAUUAAAUCUGUCUCCGUCUGUUAGUAGGUUACGUUCGUAUGUUCGUUCCUCACACACGAUAUCUCAGACAGCACUGGCCUGAUUUUGACGAAAGUUGGGUGAAUUAUGCAUCUUGCCAUAGAGAUCCGGCAUUACACUGAUUGUCCAGUUGGUGGCGUGAAAACAAGUGAUUGAAAAUGCAAACUUUGAAAGGUCAGGCCCCUAACCCUGUUUGACCUAAAGUCAUGAAAUUCUGUGCAUAGCUCCCUCUCCUCACAAGGAACAAAUUUGCCUCAUGGACCAAUAUGGUCCGUCAUGAUGGAUCUUCUGCCAUUUUGAAUUUUGUGAAAAACGUAAUACACUAGGCUACUCUGGCACGAUCUGCAAGAAACUUGAUAUGUGGCAUCUAUGGACAAAGGUAUCUCAACGCAAUACUUUCCAGACGAGUACCUAAAACAACAUGGCCUCUAUUGACCAAUAAACA